RNAcentral lists this ribosomal RNA (301 nucleotides) under uncultured bacterium. Its description in RNAcentral is "partial 16S ribosomal RNA". It matches the Rfam family "Bacterial small subunit ribosomal RNA", at positions 509 to 809 of the family's 1533-position model. The record is from RNAcentral.
CAGCCGCCGCGGUAAUACGUAGGUGGCAAGCGUUGUCCGGAAUUAUUGGGCGUAAAGGGCUCGCAGGCGGUUUCUCGAGUCUGACGUGAAAGCCCCCGGCUCAACCGGGGAGGGUCAUUGGAAACUGGGAAACUUGAGUGCAGAAGAGGAGAGUGGAAUUCCACGUGUAGCGGUGAAAUGCGUAGAGAUGUGGAGGAACACCAGUGGCGAAGGCGACUCUCUGGUCUGUAACUGACGCUGAGGAGCGAAAGCGUGGGGAGCGAACAGGAUUAGAGACCCCCGUAGUCCCUGUCUCUUAUAA